This 460-nucleotide ribosomal RNA is filed under the name uncultured bacterium. RNAcentral describes it as "bacterial SSU rRNA". It matches the Rfam family "Bacterial small subunit ribosomal RNA", at positions 791 to 1243 of the family's 1533-position model. The record is from RNAcentral.
UAGUCCACGCUGUAAACGAUGAGCACUAGAUGUCGCGGGAGUUGACCCCUGCGGUGUCGUAGCUAACGCAUUAAGUGCUCCGCCUGGGGAGUACGGCCGCAAGGCUGAAACUCAAAGGAAUUGACGGGGGCCCGCACAAGCGGUGGAACAUGUGGUUUAAUUCGACGCAACGCGCAGAACCUUACCCGGAUUUGACAUCCCAAGAACCUGUUAGAGAUAGCAGGGUGCCCUUCGGGGAACUUGGAGACAGGUGCUGCAUGGCUGUCGUCAGCUCGUGUCGUGAGAUGUUGGGUUAAGUCCCGCAACGAGCGCAACCCUUAUCCUUAGUUGCCAGCACAUAAUGGUGGGAACUCUAGGGANACUGCCGGUGACAAACCGGAGGAAGGUGGGGGAUGACGUCAAGUCAUCAUGGCCCUUACGGGGUAGGGGCUACACACGUGCUACAAUGGGUCGGUACAGA